UGGCUCUCGCACCGAUGAAGAACGCAGCGAAAUGCGAUAAGUAAUGUGAAUUGCAGAAUUCAGUGAAUCAUCGAAUCUUUGAACGCACCUUGCACCUUUUGGUAUUCCGAAAGGUACGCCCGUUUGAGUAUCAUUGUAAUCUCACCUCCACGGCUCUUGUUGUGUGGGGUGGACUUGGGCGCUGUCGUGUCAUGACGACUGGCCUGAAAUGCAUGAGUGUACCCUGCUGUUGCGGCGUCAUCAGUGUGAUAAGCAUCUUCACUGAUCCAAGUUCCUUCCAGGACGCGUCGCCACGUGGGCCCUGCGCUUCCAACCGUCUCCUCGGGAGACAGCGUUUUGACAAUUUGAUCUCAAAUCGGGUGGGACUACCCGCUGA
Molecule: unclassified non-coding RNA, 376 nt
Filed under: uncultured fungus
Lineage: Eukaryota; Fungi
Description: partial contains 5.8S ribosomal RNA and internal transcribed spacer 2
Rfam family: 5.8S ribosomal RNA (bases 1-133)
Source: RNAcentral